AGAGAGGAGCUGGUGGGGGCUUGGGGUGGCUGUGCUGACAUUCAGCCUAUGGAGCAGACUGUCACAACACCAGGAUGGGGACAGCUGGGAGGGAUGGGGACAGAAUAGGGAUGUUGGUGCCAUCUGACUGCUACAGCUGAUGGGGCAGGAAAAAGCACUGAGGGUGACUGACAGUGGAAAAAGUCCUCAAGAUUGAUGUCUUUCUUAUGGGAUAGCACAGCCAGCUGCAGGGUUGGAUUCCUCCAUCUCAGCCUGGAUGGUUGAGAUGGGGAGCAUCUGUGCGGCUCAUCCUGGCCCCCCAAAGGCCUCGUUUUGUCUGGCCGUUGGUUUGUUUGCUGACUGCUCCAUUGCUGUGGGUUAGGAGCACAGAGCAGAGUAGCCGUGGGGAGAGAAGCAGUCUGAAAUCUGUUCCCAGAUGGUGAUGGCCGGGGAUGUUUGAUGCCCAGAAAACACUGUGGUGUGUUAGAGAUGCUUCUGAGUAGCCCAUGCUGGUGUUUAGGAUUCAGCUGAUGUUGGGCUCAGCUGAAAAAUAUCAGCAGUGAAGGAGAGCAGCAUCUCCAGCUUGCAGCCAAGUCCUGCUGUGAGAAUCUCCCAUUUGGGGUGCUGGAGUUGCUCACGUGCCCACCAAGGCACAGUGGUGAGUGAUCCACUCCCAGCAGCUUGGGCAAGGGGAGGACAAGGCAGGAGGAACCCCAGAGCACCACGGGGAAGUUCAUGCUGCUGAGACCUGCUUUGGAGCUGCUCCCACCGCCUGCUUCAUCGCACUGCUGAGGACGUUCAUCCUCCUCUGCCUUGGUGCAGGAGCUGCUUGUGCCAGUGACACCAACAUGAGCUGCCAAAACACCAAACACCAACAGCCAGUCCUGCCCGGGUGAGCGGAGCACGAGAACACACCAUCUCCUCCCCAUAACUUGUGCACAGGCACUCUGAGGUUAGCGAGAGCGUUCUCAGAGCAAACCCCAUCCUACACGAGCCGUUGCUGGUGAGACCCACCUGCGUGCGCUGCGCUGUGGAGCAGGAUCAGCAUUGCCAUCCAGGCUCUGCCUGUGCCCGAUGCACAAAACCGUGUGUUUGAGGAAGUACUUCUGGAGUUUGAAAAGCAGGGGGAGCUGGAAGAAGUGGGGAGAGCCGUGAUGUCUUCCAGGAGCUGUCUCAGGAGAGGGACUGGACCAGCCUGAAGGCCGCCAGAGCCAAAGCCCAGCAGCACAGCUUGGGACACAAGCAUCCCACACGGGGGACUAUUUUGAUGGAGCCGGAGAAGUGAUGACACAAAUAGCUGAUGACACAAAUAGUUCUGCUGGCGGAGCAGCAGAGGUGGCAACCUCUGGAUGGGAGCCAUGAGCAGCAGCUGCAGACAGGCACCUCUUCAUGGAGCUGGAACAGGAUGCAUAGCCCAGGGCUCCUGUCACCAUCCCACCAGUAUCACCAGGAAAGCUGUGACCCGGAUGAGCCGUUCAGUCUCCUUCCUGCACAAUAGUUCUGCCUUCUGCCAGCUCUUGCCCUGAAAAGCUGCAGGUUCAUCUGCUCAGCCCGACUCAAACAUGCACCAUCAACAGCUGGGCACCCCUACACUCCUGCAGUGUUAGGUCAGGCCCCACACUCCUGAGGUUCCAGGAGGUAAAAGUCAUUCAUUCUCAUCUCCAGGUUGGCGGGCUGAGCCAAAUUUUGACCACUGAGCCAUUGCUGUUGCUGGUUUGAAGAUCUUGGCUGGUCCUCGCAGAGCCAUGUGAUUUAAUAGUGGUAAAAGCAACUGUUGCAUGAAAAAUUGAAGCACCCUAUGCCACGCCGAAUGCUGAACGUUGCUGCCAUUUGGGAUAAUACUGGGAAAAGAGUGAACUGAUCGGUCACGUCCUGAAAGAUGGUCUACUUCUCAGUGAGACUUUGUGCCAGAUGGCAUCUGGGGCUGAGCGUCUUGGCAUCUUUCAGCCAAAGGAAUUGCUCCGCGCUUCACCUUCAAGCCUGUGCUUGUGCCACAGCUUUGGCAAUGUUUUCUGCUCAAAGCUCCGUUAUCUAGAAUGGCAGUGAAACCAUGGAGCCCAAAAGGGAGAAGCAUCCCAUCAUCUGCGUGAGUGACUUGGGAAUGGAAGGUGAAGGAGGUGGAGGGCAGAGUUCCCACCCGGAAAGGAUUUUCAAGAUUUGAAAAAAUCAAAACAGCCCCCAGUGUUCCCCUUAUCUAUCAAUUAAAAUCAAACUAGUUUCUUUUUUAUCAAGAUUGAGAGAUGCCACACAGGCUGACUGCAGUAUUAGUGAGGUUAUCUGUGGUGUAGGAAAUCCAGAUUCAGAUGCUUCACGUGCCAUCACCAGUGCACAUCUGGGCUGUUGGCUGCUGUGUUUGUGUUCCUAGAUCUCAUGUUGUCACUGUCAGCUCUAAGCUUGCGUUGAACCUCAAGCAGGUCAGACCUUGUUGGUCUGUGAUAAGGCACAGUGUUUGUGCACGACAGCACAGCUUUUAUAUUGCGCAGGCUCCUAAAGAUACUUGUUCUAACGAUAGGAUAAAACAACGGCUGCCUCCCUGAAUCACUUCAUGUGCUGAAGACAGAGGGAUGCGAGUGAGGGCCGUUCCCAGGGUGGGUGCCGGGAGCACAGUGUGAGAGCGUGCAAUGCUGUGCAGAAGCACAGCUUAAGGUCAGACUCAGCUCUAAAGCUUCCCCAGAAUCCCAAAUCCUCUUUUUAUAUGAGUUUUAGCAAACACAAACAAUUAAAGAAUUUCAUCUUCUCCUACUAUGGUGGAAAAGCCUGAAUGCUUCUCUAAACUUUAUUAAAAAGCUCCAGCGUGUUCC
This 2780-nucleotide long non-coding RNA is filed under the name Gallus gallus (chicken). RNAcentral describes it as "lncRNA (ENSGALG00010028388.1)". The record is from RNAcentral. Lineage: Eukaryota; Metazoa; Chordata; Aves; Galliformes; Phasianidae.